AUGGGCAAGAGAUGGGUUAUGGAGAUGAGCCCCCAUGAAGCACGUAGAUUCAAGCUCCGACGCCACAACAGCAGGCCGAAGACGCGUCUGGACAAUCUCCCCGAGGAUGUGAUACAAAAGAUACUAUCGCGCUUGCCUCUAAAGGAGGUGGUGCAGAUAAGCACACUGUCGAGUGGGUGGAGACAUGUCUGGAGAUACCACCCAGAUCUAAUCUUCAGUGUUGAAAAAUUGUUUGAUGGCAAGGACAAGGGGGACCAAGAAUUUGUUACUAGUGUCAAUGAUAUCCUGAAGGAUCAUUACUGUACUGUUGUGAACAAGUUUAAGGUGAAUUAUGGACUAUCUGAAGAACACGGUGAUGAUCUUGAUGAAUGGCUCCGUUUUUCUGUUCUAUCAAAGGCAAAGAACGUUGUUCUUGAUCUACGCCCUCCACCCAAAUGCCCGGAUAAUGUCUACAACUUCCCUCUGCAUCUUUUUGAUGAUCGAAACAGCUCAUGUGUGCUGUCUCUCCGACUUGUCUUAGUGUGCCUAAGGCCAGCUCCGAAUUUCUGUGGCUUUGCAAACCUUCGAUCACUCAAAUUGCAUAGGGUUUAUGUAUCGAAGGACCUCCAUUGCAUGCUCCCACACUGUGUUGUCCUUGAGUGGUUAAGCCUAACAGACUGUUUCAUGCCUUCCUUCACCAUGUCUGAGCCACUAGACCACCUGCAGUAUGCUUGUAUUCAGAAUUGCAGCCUACAAAGCAUGGAACUGCAUGCACCAAAUCUCACAGUAUUUGAGUAUUCAGAGCAGGAUGUGCCGAUUGUGCUUGGCAAAUUUCACAAGCUGACAAAGGCAAAAAUUGAAGUAUUAUCAGAUUCUGACAAUCUAGACUACACUUUUAGUCAUCUUGUUAGGGCUAUGCCUAAUGCGGAGGAAAUCUCUCUUAGAAUUCAUAUCCAAAAUGAGGCACGACAGUUCAUGACAGACAGCCGAUGUGAUUUUAUUAAUCUGAGGUAUCUCAAUAUAGAGGUUUUGGUGGACGGAGAUCCAGGUUGUUCAAGUGGGAUUCUUCGUUUGGCUUCUCUAUUGGAACUAACUCCUCUCUUGAUGUUCAAUCUGCAUGUGUUGUUUAAUUCUAGCCUGCGAUACAAUGGUGGUGGUGAUGCCACGAAGACUUCAGGCCACAAACUUAGACAUCUCAAGAGGGUAUACAUGUCAGGAUUUGCUGAUCUCCGGGGCCAGUUGGAGCUUGCGUGGUAUAUCCUCCAGCAUGCCACCGUCCUCGAGCGCAUGGUCAUUGAUCCUAGUGUGAAGACUCGCUUCGGCUCGCACCGUGCAGUUGAGGGUGGGCUGUUCCAGGAUCUCCUGGCAAUAUACUUGCUUCUACCCAAAUUUCCAGAGGUCCUGACUGUUUUGAGGGCACCACCGCCAGGGUAUCGGUGA
Molecule: ribosomal RNA, 1419 nt
Filed under: Triticum aestivum (bread wheat)
Lineage: Eukaryota; Viridiplantae; Streptophyta; Magnoliopsida; Poales; Poaceae
Description: partial small subunit ribosomal RNA
Source: RNAcentral